Molecule: long non-coding RNA, 2385 nt
Filed under: Nicotiana benthamiana
Lineage: Eukaryota; Viridiplantae; Streptophyta; Magnoliopsida; Solanales; Solanaceae
Description: long non-coding RNA (NBEN_LNC028602)
Source: RNAcentral
ACUUUGCUCUGUCUUUUUUCUCUCUCUAUUGGGUUCAAUUGGUAUAAAGUUGCGAUUUUGUUGUUUGCUUAUGGGAAUAUGGUGAAAUGGGGUUAGAUCUAAGAUGGGUUUGUUCUGAUUUUAGAUUAGGUUUGGGUGGGGAGGGGGGGUGGUUAAGGGAGAACAAAGUGGGAUGUUAUUGUUCUUAAUUUUGAGUCUUGAUCAUGUCUUAGUGAAGGUAGAAACUUGUAAUUUUGAGUAUUGGACAUUGUCUCCAUAGCAAAAGUUCUACUCCCUUCAUCUUAAUUUAUGUGAGUUGUUUGACUAGGUACAAAGUUUUAGGGAAAAAGAAAAAAGAAUCUAGAAACUUGUGGUAACAUACCAUACACAAUUCCGUGGCUUAAACUGUUACCAAAUAUAAAAUAGUAUCAUUCCUUUUGUGACAAAGAUGUCACCUAAAUUAGGACAAAGGUAGUACUUGGUAAUUAGUAUAUAGGAAGAACUUAAUGUGAUUCGUCCUUUCUUCUUGCCUUUAUAUUAUGUUAUCAUUUUUAUCUCACGAUUAUUCCUAAACAUCUGUUUUCUCUCUGUUUGGUUUUUAUCCCUUUAUUUUUAACUCUAGAACUAGAACUAUUGAACUUUAUUAGUAAUAUUCUUAUAGUGAUGAAUGCUUCUUUCCUUCUUUGGAACAAUAUUUCAUCAUUUUUAACUAUCUGAAUUUUCCUUUAGUUAGUACUUGGGCAUGUGCUGAUGAAUGCUUGUUUCGUUCUUAAUCUUAUGUUUGCGUAUCAUCAGUAAUUCUAUCUUACUCUUGUUGGUGCUGUUUGCCUAAUGUCUAUGAUAACAAUAACAUACCCAGUAUAAUCCUACAUAUGGGGUCUAGGGGUACUCAGACCUUACCCCUACCUUGUGGAGAUAGAGAGGUUGUUUCCAAUAGACUCUUAGCUGUUAGCUCAAUGUCUAUGCCUUAAUGGAUUCGUGAAAUUGCAAUCAUUUAUAUAAUUAUUGAAAGCAACUCUAUGAAGCUUAAUGGUAAUUUUUAAUAGAAAAUAAUAACAAAACAUCAAGAAUAAAAAAAUUGCUAUCCUUUAAAUAUUUAAAGGUCUUUUUUAGUGACUGAGAAAUCCAUCUGGGACCAACCGCAUCCUUCGGGACUCAGGGAUAAUGGGCCAUGGGCUUGCCUCUCUUACACAAGUGACGGUAGAGCAAAUGGCUUGAGGUUUAAGAAAGUAAAAUGUGAGUCUUAAAUUGUCUUUUACUUUCUCAAAAAAUAAAAUUUGAGUCUUGAGCUUGAUUAGUCAAGCCUUUGUUCCUCUUUGGCCACAAUCUGGGAAUUACAAGAUACACAUUUGCCCAUCAUGCGAGAAUAUUAAGGCAAUUUCAUUAAUUGGGUUCUCCAUUUACUUGGAGAGCUAACUUUAAAUUUUGGGGUGAACUUAGUCUUUUUCAUAACAUGGGUUCUCCACUUUAGUUAGAGAAGUAACUUUAAAUUUUUUUGGGUGAACUUAGUCUUUUUCAUAACAUGGGUUCUCCACUUUAGUUAGAGAAGUAACUUUAAAUUUUGGGGCAAUAGUACCUGACUGGUAGUAUGUGAAGCUGUCUUUUGGCCUUGUGAUGCUGCUACUUGACCCGUUGACUUGAUAUCACUUCAAAUGAAGCAGCAAACUUCUGACAGGGGUUCUGGAGUUUUGCAUCAUGACUGACCUUCCAAGGGCUCUCAUCUUCUAGAUUUGUUCCCUCAUCUGCAGCUCGUACUUGUCAUUGAACGCCUUACAGCCACCUCUGUCUUCUGCAUUAUUUUUGUUACAUUGAGACGAAGCAGAGCUAAUGGAUUCCUGUAUCGGGCUUUUAUCUGGACAGGCCAACAAUGCUGCCGUCUUGCUUACUUGUAGCCUAUAUUGCUUGGACUCUCCUAAACUGUUGCCGGGUGCGUGUCGGAUCCUCCAAAAGUAGUGCAAUUUUGGAGAAUCCGACAUGGAUAUGGCAGCAUAUUGGAGAGUCAGCGCAAAGUAGCUUAUAGCUUCUGCUUGCUGAUUUGAAUAUUUUAAAGUCAUAUUUCACCUUAUAUAUUAUAGGGAUGGAUGGAGCAGUGCUUAGUGGUCCUUAACCUUUUCCUUUUGUCUAGUAGAAAGGUAUAGUGAGGAAGCAAUACGAUAUGCUUCACCUUCUACCCCUCUAUUGUCUAUUCUACUUAGGGUCUGUUUGAAAAGCCAGCUGCUAAUUGGAAUUGGUGUAAUUACUAGGAUAGUAAUUACACAACCUAGUAAUUACACUGUAUUGUAAUUACAAUGACCUGUUUGUUUGUCAUAAUGUAAUUACAAGUAUAUUGUUUGGUUGCACAAGUGUAAUUACACAUGUAAAUUAAAUUUUAAAUAUAAAAUUAAUUAUCAAAAAUAAAAAUUUAAG